AGGCGAAUCAGGAUGAAUGUAGACACGCGGAGGGACGGGAGAGUCGGCGUUACCCGCUACCAUCCACUUCGAGCUGUGGUACACGUACUUGGAAUGGAAAAAAAAUUGUCUCAUGACCUUCAGGUCCAGCAGGUCAAGCUCCCAAAAGGGCAUCGCAAAAGGCCGGACUGAACAUGUCAACAACUUCCGGGAGUGCCAUUUGUGGAGACGGGAACAAUAUCCAUCGCGAUAUAAUACUGUUGAUGAGGAUCCAGUCCCGCAAUCUUAACUCUCAUCGCGGGAAACAUUCGCCUGGGAUAAAAUGACAUUGUAUAUUAAUAUUUUCGUUUGGCCUAUAGGCUGCAUCACAUUGAGGCAAAAUCCAGAUUUCCUAAGUGCGCAGUUUUUACCUUAAUGUGGGCAUAAUUUUUCAAACCAUAUAAAAACACAGUAUGUUACCCGUUUACGUGAAAUAUACUUUUCCCCAAAUAUAUAAUUUUAAUUAAUUUAGUGUAACUGUUAUAUUUGUUCAUUAAUUUAAAUAAAUUGUCAAUAUGAAUAUAUACAAUUCCACAAAAAUCAACAUCAUAUACAAACGUAGCUAAGUAAUGCACAAAACCACUCCUUAUAUAAAUAAAUAAAUAUAUGUUUUUUUUUUUAAUCUUCGGCAUUUUGGCACUUUUAGGGACAUUUUAAAAAAUUGUUUGUUAAAUGUAUUCAAUUCCUUCAUGUAGCCUAUCUGAAAGUAACAUUUACAUCUAACAUCAGUCAAAAGAGACUAGCGUAUUUUACUAAGAAUGUACUGUCUUUAUAUUACAACUAUAUACAAAUACAAAUGUUGAAUAUGGUGAUAUUUAGUUGAUGAUUAUGAAAUUGUACAGCAUGUUUUGUGUGAUGCACCUGCCGGCUUUGGUGAUGAUCAUUUCAGUUCCUAUCUCGUGGAAUCGCUUCCACAAGUCUGAGCCUUGCAGGUCCACGCGCAUCUCCUCCCCGGAGCUCGUGCCUGAUUGCACGAGGACCUGCGAGCCUUGGGAUGCAGGUUGUGGGCUAUCCAACAACACGUCCUCAGACUCCGCUGAGAAAGACAGAAAAAAAGCGGUCUUAAUUAUUUUAUAUUUUAACUACCCGCAGGAAACUUUUAAUUUAAACUACUGUUGCAAUAACGACUGUUGAAGUGGCACAAAAAAGGAUUUGCGAUGGUUUUCUGACUCGCAUGCUCUUCCUGGCUCAUUGCAUGUAUUUACAGACUUUUUAUAUUGUAAUGUUGUUAAACAUUAAAAUGCAAUUAUACAUAA
Molecule: long non-coding RNA, 1274 nt
Organism: Cyprinus carpio (common carp)
Lineage: Eukaryota; Metazoa; Chordata; Actinopteri; Cypriniformes; Cyprinidae
Source: RefSeq, a predicted model, not a curated record